CUUCAAUUAAACAGGCGGGGCAGCACAGUGCUCUGUUUGCAGUUCUGUGUGCCCAUCAGUGCCAGGCCAGACCGUGAAUGAUCAUUACCCUUCAUUACAGCUCAGACAAAGCACCGAACCUCCCUCCCACUGCAUGGCAAAACAGCAGGACAUCCAGCUCCCAGCCAGGACCCACCAUGGACGACGAUUUCGAACGGCGUAGGGAGCUCCGCAGGCAGAAGCGCGAGGAGAUGCGUAUGGAGGCGGAGAGGCUGAUGUACCAGCGGAACGAGGACGACGAGGAGGAGGCAGCCCGCGAGCGGAGGCGCAGGGCUCGUCAGGAGAGGAUGAGGAGCAAGGAUUUGGAGGAGCCAGUCACUGCGGCAACGGAGGGCGAGGCUUUGGAUAGCAACAGCAGCAUGGCGGAGAGGGACGCGGCCGGCAGGAAGGGGGACGCGGCCACCCACAAUGACGAGGAGGGGGACCAUGGGCUCCAGGAGAGACUGGCCAAGCGUGAGGACCGCCGGCAGCGCAGGGCGCUGGAGGCCGCAGAGAGGCAGUGGCGGGAGCUGGAGGCCCCGGCGGAGCCCAAACGCAGCCAGCCCGGCGAGAAGGAAGAGGAGGAGCCUGAGGAGGAGGAAGAGGAGGUGCCGAGGAGGUCCUUCCUGGGCGAGCAGGUUGAUCAUGAAACGGUAUCGGAGCGACCGGCCGGGUCCCAUACAGAGUUAAGCGAAAAGCCUGUGAAUUCUGAUGACGAUGCCGAAAGAGGCAGAUCCAGGGCAGAGGUGGAAGAGGAAGAAGGAGGUGUUUCGGGGAACGAAGCUGAAGGGGGCACUGUAGUCCCCCUGGGGAAGGAGGAUGGGGAGGAGAUGAGACUGGUGGAGGUCGAAGGGACCUCAGAGGAGGAGCUAGGAGAGCAGGAGGUGCCAGGGGAAGGUGCUGAAGGAGAAGGAGGCCUGUCUGAGCUGGAGCUGGUCUGCGAGGAGAAGAUGAGGAGGUCCUUUUCUCAGGAUGAGGAGACCCCAGAGGAGAAGCCCAAAUGGCCCCUUAGAAAAGAGGAGCAGAAGCCGCCUGGGGAUCCGGAGCCUGUCUCGCCCCAGAUGGAAAACUCUCCACAGUCUAAGCAGCCGAACGGAGGUCUGAAUGAUGACUUCACGGCCAGACACCGGAAACCGGAAAGGACUCUGAGCCGGGGGAGCACGCACUCAGCUGAGGAGGAGCAAGAAGAUGCGGCCCGGCAGGAGGCGGAGCGCAAGCUGGAAGAGCUAAAGCGGAGGCGUGGGGAGACGGAGAGCGAGGAGUACCAGAGGAUGCGGCAGAGGCAGCAGGAGGCUGAGGCAGAGCUGGAGGACCUCAAGAGGAGGCGGGAGGAGCGGAGGAAGGUGCUGGAGGAGGAGGAGCGUGCCAAGAGGGAGGAGCAGGAGGAGAAGAAGGCCAAGGAGGAGGAGGAGAAGAGGAGGAUGAAGCAGGAGAUCGAGAGGAGGCGAGCUGAGGCGGCGGAGAAGAGGCACCGGGUGGAGGACACCGGCGACGGCGAGAGCAGGAGGCCCUUCCAGUGCCUGGGGCCCAAGACUGGAUCCAUGAAGAUCGGGGAGCGGGCGGAGUUCUUAAACAAGUCAGCCCAGAGAAGUUCCGUGAAGUCAUCGCACUCCCCCGUCGUGUCCAAGAUCGACAACCGACUGGAGCAGUACACCACUGCUGUGCAGACCAACAAAGAAAUCAAGGCCCCCAAGUCGGCGGCCAUCGACCUGCCUGUGGUGACAGACGGAGUCCGUAGCAUCAAGAGCAUGUGGGAGCGAGGGAAUGUGUUCAGCUCUGCCGGAACCCCAGGCUCUACUAACAAGGAAACAGCCAGCAUGAAGAUAGGUGUCGCCGGAAGGAUCAACGACUGGCUGAACAAGGUCCCAGAGAGCGGCAAAAGUGGGGGAGGGAAGCCCGCCGACCUGAGGCCUGGUGAUGUCACCAACAAGCGUAACCUCUGGGAGAACAAGGGCUCCGCCCCUGACAAGUAAUACCCCACUGAGUGAAACAGGUCGGAUUUUGACUCUGAAUGUAUGUUGUGGUCACUAAGGUUCACUCAAAGCUGGUUGCUGCUGAAAUCCUCUGACUGUAACAUCCCAGGACAGAAAAUGGUGCUUCAAAUCCCUGCAUGACCUUUAACUUCUUACUCACUCGGCCAACGAGCACCAGACAGGGGAGAUAAUGGCACUUUUGCGAGUGGCCGGUUGAAGGCCGUCACGGCUGCCUCUGUUUUUGGCAGAUAUGGCGAAACCGGCCGCAUUCUCCCUCGUGGGCGUUGAGGUGUGUUGAGGAGGCAGCUUUCUGUCUUCUCUGAAACGCGUGUUGUGGUUUGCGCUCCACUGGCCUGCCAGCUAUUUGGGUCCUGAUGUUGCCUGCAUGACAGAUUGCUUUUGAGCUUGGCGAUGGUAUCUCUCACAGCACUGACACACAUUACGCUGUUGGUUUGCACAUGGGGGGGGGGGUGAAAUUGAUCCAAAUUUAGCAUAAGAUGCCAGUCAGAAUGCAAGCAAAGGUCGGACUCGCAGGGGAAGACGGACGUGAGUUACAGGUGACCGUUGGAGGAAAGAGUAAAUCGGCCACCAAUGCAGGACACUAACAGCACCACCUGGUGGCAGGAGGAGAAGGCUGCACCCAGCAAGGAGAUUCUCCCUGUCGUCACAAUAUGUGUAAAAUACCAAGCAGGGGAAGGAGGAUUUUCUGUAAUCCUGGCAGGGAGGGGGGGCGGGGGGAAGGUUCAAAAGGGAUUAUAAAUGCAUAUUAGCACUGUAUGUAAAAGCCCAGCACCUUAAACACGUCACCGUAACGAGCCUUUGCACAAAACCUUUACUGCUCUCUGGAAUCGACGCUGUGAAACUCUGGUCAUUUUCACGUCUGAUUUCAUGUCAAGCCACAGAGGAAAUCAAAAGCCAGGCUGAGUGGCGGCACAGGUUAGACACCGUAUUUGACUGUGGUUUGACGCUCUCCUAUCCACGGUGUGGUGUUCUCCAUCAAACCUUGCACCAGCCGGCAGUGGUACUGAUGGUAGAGACUCACGAAAUACUUCAGGUCAAAUAUAUAAUAUACGAAAAAAUAUCAGAUAAAAUAUAUGUUAGUGCAUAUAUUUAGUCCUGAUCUUUUGAUUAUAUGUCACGGCUUUAUUUCAUAUUUGUUCACUUUUUGUAUCCAAACCUAAUAGCCGCCCUUAGACGCAUUUACAGAAAUAUCAUUAUCGAGGCCACUGUCCUCUGAAGCUUUAUUUUUUCACGUUUUACGAAUGCGCAGUGGUUCUGCCCUCCUGCCAACAGAGGCAUGGAGUGACGCCGGUUUUCUCUGUUACUUGUGCUGUUCACUAAUCUCUCUCUGCUCCUGGGUGCACAGCAAAGGCCGUGCCUGAGACCGCAAAUACUUCCCAGGUGAAUGUGGGCCUCAUCUGUUAACGCCAGCCAGGGCGGAGUAUGCUGUGGUUACAUCUUAACAUAAAAAUGACUGCGAAUCAAAGAUGGCCGCCCCAUCAUUCCGACACCCAAGAACAUCUGUGUCAGGCGGGCGGCCUGAUCCGGUCCGGUCCGAGCCGAUUGCAGCUCAGAGCGGGUGCCUGCGAGCGAGAGCCUCCAAAGCUGAACAGAAGUUGUAUUUCACAGUAAAAAUGUUCAAUCUUGUGGUAUUAUCCCAUUUCGCUAGUGCCAGUUGUCUUACAGAGCGAUACUGAAAGCCAGCGCGUGGCAAAGGCUGUCACUGUUUACACUGAGAAAUCGGAGGAUUUGGACGAUGGUGUCGAAAGGAACGGGAAGUGCGGGAUGGGAAUGGAUCAGGUACAGGAAGUAGGGCGGGAAUUGCGUGUAUGGGACAAACGGAACAGCUACGGGAAGUGCAGGAAUGGAUGAGGGGAGAGAUGGGUCAGAUGGAGGAAAUAUGAAGUUAAUGCAGCAGGAGAAGAGCUUUGGAAUAUGCUGGUAUUUUUAAUCAAAUUAUUUAAACACUGAGAUUUGUAUUCAGGAAAAUCUACCUUUUAUAUUGAAAACAAGUAUUACAGUGGAAAUAUGUUCUAAAUUAUUUUAAUAGGAAGUGCUAUAGAGUAGACGUAGUUUUAAAUGUUUGAGUGUAGAGUACAGUCCUGUACAAUGCAUCUGUGUCACAGUAUGGUCAUACCUGAGCUGGGGUGCCAGUGUCCCUAAAGCACGUCCAGUUCAGAAAUAUCCAGUGUGCAGUUUAUAGUGACAACACUGCUGCGGAUCGCUCCACUUCUUCAUGGUAAGAGGUGGGUGACGUUGCAUUUAUUAAGCACAUCCUGAACACUCAUAGUAGAAGUGACCACUUUCUAUUACAGGUUGUCCUUUUUUCUCCCCCCACAUUAUGAGCAAAGCAAUGCAACUUGUGUCCUUGCGAUAUCUGCAGCUUGUGUUACUGUGUAAAAACUAUGGGUAUGUCUACAUGUAGAGGAUAGCUUAACGUCUUGGAGACAAAUUACGUCGACAAUAAAGAGGCAACUGUCCAAAA
This is an RNA transcript of Brienomyrus brachyistius, 4476 nucleotides long. It is a transcript of the gene named non-muscle caldesmon-like, with no coding region annotated. Lineage: Eukaryota; Metazoa; Chordata; Actinopteri; Osteoglossiformes; Mormyridae. The record is from RefSeq and is a predicted model, not a curated record. The transcript has 18 exons.